GCGGGCGUAGUUCAAUGGUAGAACAGGGGCUUCCCAAGCCUCCAAUGUGGGUUCGAUUCCCAUCGCCCGCU
Molecule: transfer RNA, 71 nt
Filed under: Thiorhodovibrio frisius
Lineage: Bacteria; Pseudomonadati; Pseudomonadota; Gammaproteobacteria; Chromatiales; Chromatiaceae
Description: Thiorhodovibrio sp. 970 tRNA
Rfam family: tRNA
About the family: Transfer RNA (tRNA) molecules are approximately 80 nucleotides in length. Their secondary structure includes four short double-helical elements and three loops (D, anti-codon, and T loops).
Source: Rfam by way of RNAcentral